RNAcentral lists this ribosomal RNA (1064 nucleotides) under uncultured bacterium. Its description in RNAcentral is "bacterial SSU rRNA". It matches the Rfam family "Bacterial small subunit ribosomal RNA", at positions 444 to 1504 of the family's 1533-position model. The record is from RNAcentral.
ARRRAASSSGACCGGUUUAAWACCUGGUCGAACUGACGGUACGUAAGAAUAAGCACGGGCUACUUCGUGCCAGCAGCGCGGUAAUACGAAGGGUGCAAGCGUUACUCGGAAUUACUGGGCGUAAAGCGUGCGUAGGUGGUUUGUUAAGUCAGAUGUGAAAGCCCUGGGCUCAACCUGGGAACUGCAUUUGAUACUGGCAGGCUAGAGUGCGGUAGAGGGUAGCGGAAUUCCCGGUGUAGCAGUGAAAUGCGUAGAUAUCGGGAGGAACACCAGUGKYGAAGGCGGCCAACUGGCUUGGAACUGACACUCAGGGACGAAAGCGUGGGUAGCGAACAGGAUUAGAUACCCUGGUAGUCCACGCCCUAAACGAUGAGAACUAGUUGUUGGAAGGGUCUGCCUUUCAGUGACGCAGCUAACGCGUUAAGUUCUCCGCCUGGGGAGUACGGCCGCAAGGUUGAAACUCAAAGGAGUUGACGGGGGCCCGCACAAGCGGUGGAGCAUGUGGUUUAAUUCGAUGCAACGCGAAGAACCUUACCUGCCCUUGACAUGCCAGGAAUCCCGCAGAGAUGUGGGAGUGCCUUCGGGAGCCUGGACACAGGUGCUGCAUGGCUGUCGUCAGCUCGUGUCGUGAGAUGUUGGGUUAAGUCCCGCAACGAGCGCAACCCUUGUCUCUAGUUAYUAACAGUUCGGCUGAGCACUCUAGAGAGACUGCCGGUGAUAAACCGGAGGAAGGUGGGGAUGACGUCAAGUCCUCAUGGCCCUUAUGGGUAGGGCUUCACACGUCAUACAAUGGUCGGUACAGAGGGUUGCCAAGCCGCGAGGUGGAGCCAAUCCCAGAAAGCCGAUCGUAGUCCGGAUUGUUCUCUGCAACUCGAGAGCAUGAAGUCGGAAUCGCUAGUAAUCGCGGAUCAGCAUGUCGCGGUGAAUACGUUCCCGGGUCUUGUACACACCGCCCGUCACACCAUGGGAGUGGGUUGCUCCAGAAGUAGCUAGUCUAACCUUCGGGAGGACGGUUACCACGGAGUGAUUCAUGACUGGGGUGAAGUCGUAACAAGGUAACCGUA